GGCAAAUUAGCGAAGAUCAAAGGUGUUUAUAAACCAGGCAAAUCACAGGAAAUUUCCAUCAAUAUUUAAGGAUGGCGUAUCGGCUUGUCUUACUGAGGGAGAGGGGCGGGGAGAGUGAGGAGAGUGAGAUGGAAUAGAAAAGGGAUUCUCUAAAUGUGGUUUCAGCCUUUUUAUAAUAUGUUGAAUAUUUUAUCACAGCUGCAAUUAAACAGCUAUAAUUUUCAUCUCGACUGAAGUACAGGGUCAUAUUCUCUCCUCCUCUCCUCUCCCCUCCUCUCCUCUCCUCUCUCUCCUCCCCUCUCUCUCCUCCUCUCCUCUCAUCUCUCCCCUCCUCUAUCUCCUCCUCUCCUCUCUCUCCUCUCUCUCCUCCUCUCCUCUCAUCUCUCCCCUCCUCUCCCCUCCUCUAUCUCCUCCUCUAUCUCCUCCUCUCUCCUCUCCUCUCUCUCCUCCCCUCUCUCUCCUCCUCUCCUCUCCCCUCCUCUAUCUCCUCCUCUCCUCUCCUCUCUCUCCUCCCUCUCUCCUCCUCUCCUCUCCUCUCCCCUCCUCUAUCUCCUCCUCUCCUCUCCUCUCCUCUCUCUCCUCCUCUCCUCUCCUCCCCUCUCUCUCCUCCUCUCCUCUCCUCUCCCCUCCUCUAUCUCCUCCUCUCCUCUCUCUCCUCCCCUCUCUCUCAUCCUCUCCUCUCCUCUCAUCUCCUCUCCUCCUCUAUCUCCUCCUCUAUCUCCUCCUCUCCUCUCCUCUCCUCUCUCUCCUCCUCUCCUCUCAAUCUCUCCCCUCCUCUCCCCUCCUCUAUCUCCUCCUCUAUCUCCUCCUCAUCCUCUCCUCUCCUCUCUCUCCUCCCUCUCCUCUCUCUCCUCCUCUCCUCUCCCCUCCUCUCCUCUCCCUCCUCUAUCUCCUCCUCUCCUCUCUCCUCCCUCUCUCUCCCCUCUCUCUCCUCCCUCCUCUCCUCUCCCCUCCUCUUCUCCUCCUCUCCCUCCUCUCCUCUCUCUCCUCCUCUCCUCUCCUCCCCUCUCUCUCCUCCUCUCCUCUCCCCUCCCCUCCUCUCAUCUCCUCCUCUCCUCUCUCUCCUCCCUCUCUCUCAUCCUCUCCUCUUCUCUCAUCUCCUCUCCUCUCCUCUCUCCCUCCUCUCCCUCCUCUAUCUCAUCCCUCCUCUCCUCUCUCUCCUCCCUCUCUCUCUCAUCCUCUCCUCACCUCUCCUCUCCUCUCCCCUCCUCUCUCUCCUCCUCCUCCCCCCUUAUCUCCCCUUAUCUCCCCCUCCUCUCUCCUCCUCUCCCCUCCUCUCACCUCUCCUCUCCCCUCCUCUCACCUCUUCUCUCCCCUCCUCUAUCUCCUCCUCUCUCCUCCUCUCUCUCCUCCCUCUCUCUCAUCCUCUCCUCUCCUCUCUCCAUCCUCUCUCUCCUCCUCUCCUCUCCUCCUAUCUCUCCUCCUCUCCUCUCCUCUCCUCCUAUCUCUCCUCCUCCUCUAUCUCCUCUCCUCUCCUCUCCUCUCCUCUCCUCUCCCUCCUCUCUCUCCUCCUCUCUCCUCCUCUUCCCUCCUCUCACCUCUCUCCUCUCCCCUCCUCUCACCUCUCCUCUCCCUCCUCUCCUCUCCCCUCCUCUCACCUCUCCUCUCCCCUCCUCUCCUCUCCCCUCCUCUCACCUCUCCUCUCCCCUCCUCUCAC
This 1657-nucleotide long non-coding RNA is filed under the name Cottoperca gobio. RNAcentral describes it as "lncRNA (ENSCGOG00000018029.1)". Lineage: Eukaryota; Metazoa; Chordata; Actinopteri; Perciformes; Bovichtidae. The record is from RNAcentral.